AACGAGACUAGAGUCACAUCUCAGUGUUGUCUGUCAUUGUGGUGUGCUAUGGUACUCGGAUAGUGACAACUGACCUUUAUUCACUGGCUGUUUUGCUUGUUGCAGCCAGUCACCCGGUUAGUGACAGAA
This is a small nucleolar RNA of Anolis carolinensis (green anole), 129 nucleotides long. The record is from Ensembl. NCBI's taxonomy places the organism in Eukaryota, Metazoa, Chordata, Lepidosauria, Squamata, Anolidae.